This 483-nucleotide ribosomal RNA is filed under the name uncultured bacterium. RNAcentral's name for it is "partial 16S ribosomal RNA". It matches the Rfam family "Bacterial small subunit ribosomal RNA", at positions 30 to 506 of the family's 1533-position model. The record is from RNAcentral.
AUUGAACGCUGGCGGCAGGCCUAACACAUGCAAGUCGAGCGGAUGAAGGGAGCUUGCUCCUGGAUUCAGCGGCGGACGGGUGAGUAAUGCCUAGGAAUCUGCCCGGUAGUGGGGGAUAACGUCCGGAAACGGGCGCUAAUACCGCAUACGUCCUGAGGGAGAAAGUGGGGGAUCUUCGGACCUCACGCUAUCAGAUGAGCCUAGGUCGGAUUAGCUAGUUGGUGGGGUAAAGGCCUACCAAGGCGACGAUCCGUAACUGGUCUGAGAGGAUGAUCAGUCACACUGGAACUGAGACACGGUCCAGACUCCUACGGGAGGCAGCAGUGGGGAAUAUUGGACAAUGGGCGAAAGCCUGAUCCAGCCAUGCCGCGUGUGUGAAGAAGGUCUUCGGAUUGUAAAGCACUUUAAGUUGGGAGGAAGGGCAGUAAGUUAAUACCUUGCUGUUUUGACGUUACCAACAGAAGAAGCACCGGCUAACUUCGU